This 466-nucleotide ribosomal RNA is filed under the name uncultured bacterium. Its description in RNAcentral is "partial 16S ribosomal RNA". It matches the Rfam family "Bacterial small subunit ribosomal RNA", at positions 28 to 507 of the family's 1533-position model. The record is from RNAcentral.
GAUGAACGCUGGCGGCGUGCUUAACACAUGCAAGUCGAACGAUGAAGCCCAGCUUGCUGGGUGGAUUAGUGGCGAACGGGUGAGUAACACGUGAGUAACCUGCCCUUAACUCUGGGAUAAGCCUGGGAAACUGGGUCUAAUACCGGAUAGGAGCGCCUACCGCAUGGGGGGUGUUGGAGAGAUUUAUCGGUUUUGGAUGGACUCGCGGCCUAUCAGCUUGUUGGUGAGGUAAUGGCUCACCAAGGCGACGACGGGUAGCCGGCCUGAGAGGGUGACCGGCCACACUGGGACUGAGACACGGCCCAGACUCCUACGGGAGGCAGCAGUGGGGAAUAUUGCACAAUGGGCGAAAGCCUGAUGCAGCGACGCCGCGUGAGGGAUGACGGCCUUCGGGUUGUAAACCUCUUUCAGUAGGGAAGAAGCGAAAGUGACGGUACCGGCAGAAGAAGCACCGGCUAACUACGUG